GCGAUAUUUAUGUAUUUAUAUUGUCUUUGUCUAUUCAAUAUGAAACUGUUUUAUGAAUUUUGGUCAUUUGUUAUAUGAGCAAAUACAUUGCUUGGCAAAUCGUCAUCACUGUCAUAUUUUAGGUUUCAUAUACCUGUCACUAAUUGAAUUUAUUGUUUCGUUGUAUUGUCAGUAUGCUGUCAGAAGUCCUGGAGCGAAAGCACAGGCCGAACCCUCUCUACCAGUAACGUAAACGGCUGAGCUAGCGGGGUAUAAUGUCAUGAGACAGAUUAUGAAUGAAAAAUACGUUUACACACGAAAACCCAUUUACGUUGCAAUAUGACAUUUAUAAU
Molecule: long non-coding RNA, 332 nt
Filed under: Mytilus galloprovincialis (Mediterranean mussel)
Lineage: Eukaryota; Metazoa; Mollusca; Bivalvia; Mytilida; Mytilidae
Source: RNAcentral